GUGCCCCACCCCGGGCACACGAGGCCUCCACUGCGGUUGCGCAGCCUGCCGAAGAGCGUGCGGCUUCUACUGCGGCUGCGCAAGCUCGACGCGCGCACUCUUGUCUGCUUACGAGGGCUCCUCCCUUCAGCUUUGGUCCCUCGGGGCGUCUGGGCAGCCUACGCUUUCCGUAAACACUGGGAUGCCGGAGCUCAGGCAUCCCAGACAGGAGGAAGUGUGUACUCACACCAGCCAGGAGGAAACAAGCCUGCCUGGGAGGACAGACGAUCAGCCCUGGCUGUCCCUCAGGAGCGGGGGGCCUCCAAGGCACACUGCCCACUGGGUCAAGGAGUAUCCAGGAGGAGUUAGAAGCAUGACCCAUCUGCCUGGCACCAGCACCUGGGGCUGCCAGGCAGCCACCCCUGCAGCUGUGUUGACAGGACCUGGCAGAGGGACUGACCCACCUUUGGAAAAUGACACCAGCAAUAUCAGGAUGUGUCAACUGGAUUUAUGCUAAGAAAAUAGGAUUUUUGGUGUUCCUCUGUUUCCCAAAGUUUGAGACACUUUCAGACACUCUGCUUUGCGGUUGUGGCCGAUGUUACCCAUGGGUGGGACUUUUGCUUUGCUCUAGAUUUUUGUAACACCCUGGGGAGUUUCAGGGGCCAAUGCUGAGAGAAGACCACAGGCUGACACAUCAUGAGACCCUCUGGGCAGGUCCACUAAGAGCAUGUAUUCUAGAACAUGCAGGGCUUGAAGCUUCACAAGAUAUUCAGUGCACUCCUUACAGAUCCUGUCAAAUGUGGACCGGGUGGUGUCAUCGCACCACCAUCAUCCCCUUGUUACCCCUGAGAACACAGCUUCAGAGAGGGGCGGCGCUGGCUUUCAGGCCGUUCAGCAGGGAUGAGUAGAAGGCAUGGAUGAACAUCUUAGAAGCAGCCACUGGCACAGGCCACAGAGACACGAGGACACACUGAGCGCCGGCAGCCAGGAAGGCCCUUGUCAGCGCGAUGACCCCGUCGGCUGUGACUUUGCUGUUGGACUCCUGGGAGGAGCCAAGCACCACCAGCUUCACAGGCAGCUGCAGGUCCAGGACGUCGGCGGCAGUGCCUAACUUACUGAGAAUCAUGCCUGCUGUGAUGAGCCCUUGGAAACCAUCAGGACUGGAUGGUAGGGGUCCUGAGAGGAUUGGGGGAGGAGGCCUUGAUAUGACAGAGUGGACAGAGGCCGUGGAACCCAGGACAGCCAGCCUGCUCCACAAUCCUCAUCCCCACAGACCUUCAUGUGUGGCUCCUAAAUAAGAGGAAACCCACUCCUGAUAAGUCAGGGGCUUUGAAAAGUGAUUUUGUUUAAAUGGUGCAAACAAGCAAGCCAAUCUUGGGGAGACAGGGCUAAACUUAAGUCCUUUAAGAAGCUCUACAUACUGACAAGAUUCUAGUUCCCUUCCACCUUAUAUGCUGCAAAGUAAAAAGUAUCACUGAAUGAGAAAAUCAGCAUAAAGAAGCCCAAUAAUGUCUGCCUGAGUUUCCCCUAUGAUGACUUUUGGUACUUUUUGGGAAACAUUAAGUAUGAAGUUAUUUCAAAAUAAUUUUUUGGUGCCUCUGCUUGGUGAUGCCUUAAACUCUGGGUAAGAGAAACACCAGGUGCCUGUCAGGAGAUGGCCUUUUCCAGGUUUCUGGUUAAGCUACAAACAGCUAACUGGCUGCUGUCAUCAAAAUAAAAGCUUUCUGAAGGUGGAGGCAUCUGAUACCCAGAGUGCUGCUAUCAGCCGGCACGGUGGGCCGCUGGGUGGCAGGAGCGUCGAGAAGGCCAGCUCGCUUCCUAUCUGGGAUUCAGAAUCAGCUAUGGAAACUUGAGAGACCUAGAGAAAAUAACUUCUUUCACUUUGAACUGAUUCUUUGCUUCAUAAGAAAAGUAUUAUCCAGCCACAAAAAUGGUCAAAAUUCAGAUCUACAAAAGCCUGUCAGGCAGAAACUGACCCCACUUAGGCCACGCCAAUGAGCAAGUCAUCAAAGCAGCCAAGACAGGUCCUGUGGGGGCCACCCAUGCACAGGGCCCAGCCUCGGGUCCUAACCCCGCCUAUGCUUUCCGCCACCAUAAAGAGGCCCAUCUGGGUAAGACCUGUCCCGCCUGCUGUGGGGUAUUAGGGCAGAUGGGGUCUGAGGGGUCUGAGGGCUCUGAGAGCAGCUGGCAGCUCAAGGACAUCCGGAGUUGGAGGAUGGAGCAAUGCAGGCCCUUGUGGUAAAGACAGUCCUGCAGCCGCGCAGGCAGGGAUGCUGCAAGUGGAGUGCCAGGCGGGUGCGGAGCCCUGUGGGACUGUGGAGGGGUCAGAGGGAAGCCAGGAUUUUGGGGUCUCUGAGAGUUUGGAGAAGGGGAAGAAGAUUAAAGCUUGUUUCAAAAGUUUCUAAUCAGGUGGGCAGGGCCAAGGGUGGCUGUGGGGUGAGACCCAUGACUCAGGGUGGCCCACUGUUACUCUAUUGAUUUUUGGGCGUUUUUUUCCAAAUUGAUUAUUCUUGCUGAAUGAGACCUGAGUCCUUGACUGUCCCCUUAAAGCCACCUGACUUGUUUUCAGUUCCACUGGCCUGUCGGGCUGUUUUCUACUCAACUCCACUCUUGCUUGUCUGCCCUCCCUGCCUGGGGCCCAGCCAGCAGUCAGCUCAAGGGCCAGAUGAAUUGGGUGGCUGUGCUCUGCCCACUGGGCAUCGUGUGGAUGGUGGGUGACCAGCCCCCUCAGGUGCUCAGCCAGGCCUCAAGCCUUGCUGUGUACCUCAGAGCAGCUCCGUACCCUGAUGUCACAGCAAAGAAACUUAGACAUGACACAAACUGUGGCUUCCCAAGGCAGCAAAGAAUGGCCAGGGGUCAUGAGGGCCGUGCCCCACUUUUGGACAGACCUACUCUAAAGUCACGCUACCUGCGUGCAAAUCAUAAAAUCAACACUUUUGAGGAGAUCACAGCUAUGCCUUCGUAACACAGCCCAGUCCGACCAGAUAGACGGUGCCUCGUGACCCGAAAACAAGCCCCCGGCCCCCCACCAUGUGUGUGAGCCUUACCUUGGACUGCACGCUGAGGGAGCGGAUGGAAGGGACAGCAAGGAGGCCGAAGCGCUCGUAGAGGUACUCAUUGGAGGAGCUUCCCUUCAGGAGGGCGAAAGGAAUGAGGUAGAGCUCCCCCUCCAGAACCAGGAUGAGCUGCCGGUGCCGGCCCACGGGGCCGCUGGAGUGCAUCAGGCCCUAUGGAGCAAGCACGGAGAGGCUGACAUGGGUGGCCCAGCAGGCAGGGGUUUCAGGCACCAGGACAACCCUGAGCCCUAGCCUGGAUGACACAAGCACGAGCAGGUGAGGCCUGUGGGGGUGUGGGGCGCCAUGGGGCAUGGGCCGAGUUGCAGCCCUGCAGGAGCGGCACCAACUGGCAUGCUCGCUUGUGGACUGGCAAGGGCUGGCCUGGCAGCAUCCAUCUGCCUCACAGUCCUGAGAAGGUUAGAGGACAGUUUCUUGAAGUUCACAAGAACCUGAAGUGGGUUGGAGACCGGUCUGUACCGCACAGGCACCCUGAGAAGGGGUGGGAAUGGCCCCUCUCAAAACAAGAUCUGUUUUCCAUUUCAAUGGACAAGAGGCUAGAAAAUCACAGUGAGGACGGGAGGUCUGGGGGCUGGCAUGACAGCCCCUGUAGAAGGGGAUGGGCUGGGUUCUAGGAUCUUCCGUGACCUCCUCUGAGAAAGAGUGGCCCCUUGGCUCUGGGCUUGGGAGGUGCCGUCCCCACUUGUUCCCUCUGGGGAUGUCAGGGGACCCAAUGCAUGGAUGACUCCCAUCCCUCUUGAAAGGCCGAGCAUGAGGACUCGAGGCAGGGUGUGCACAGGGCCACAGCGGACACAGCCUCAUUCCUGUUCAUUGCAGAACAAGGCUAAGGGCGCGGGCAUCUUAAUGAGAGCAGCAGGCAACAAUCCUGGAAGCUGGGUCCACACAGACUGCGGUGAACAAAGAGGUGGCGUGGAAGCUGCUGCUGCAGCCCAGAGCCUGCCAAGAAGGUCCCAGGUCCACAGGGCCUGCGCAACACUGGGUGCCAGGGGUGGGGCUGGCCUGCCCCCCAACCCCAUCUGCUGAGGAGUGGCUGACAAGCGGACACCCACCAGGGUGCCACUCGCUUGUGCCUGGGGAAGCAAAUGUGCUCGCUUGACCCGUCUGAUGUGCUGCCGUGGGCACUUGACUGAGAGUGGCAGAGCACUAGGCUAACCCAAAGUGACACAUGCCUGGCGGGAUGUUCAGUCUCUGUAAACCCAUAUGGUUUUUUUUUUUCUUUCCUUUAAAAAAAAUUUCUAGCUCCAUCUAGCGAAAGCAGAAAUAAAAAGUAUUAGGCCAA
Molecule: long non-coding RNA, 4332 nt
Filed under: Homo sapiens (human)
Lineage: Eukaryota; Metazoa; Chordata; Mammalia; Primates; Hominidae
Description: PREDICTED lncRNA (TCONS_00176808)
Rfam family: TTC28 antisense RNA 1 conserved region 3 (bases 172-352)
Source: RNAcentral